RNAcentral lists this ribosomal RNA (424 nucleotides) under uncultured prokaryote. RNAcentral describes it as "bacterial SSU rRNA". It matches the Rfam family "Bacterial small subunit ribosomal RNA", at positions 355 to 796 of the family's 1533-position model. The record is from RNAcentral.
UGGGGAAUAUUGGACAAUGGGCGCAAGCCUGAUCCAGCCAUGCCGCGUGGGUGAAGAAGGCCCUAGGGUUGUAAAUCCCUUUCAGCGGGGAAGAUAAUGACGGUACCCGCAGAAGAAGCCCCGGCUAACUCCGUGCUAGCAGCAGCGGUAAUACGGAGGGGGCUAGCGUUGUUCGGAAUUACUGGGCGUAAAGCGCGCGUAGGCGGACCUUCAAGUCAGGGGUGAAAUCCCGAGGCUCAACCUCGGAAUUGCCUUUGAUACUGAUGGUCCUGAGUCCGAGAGAGGUGGGUGGAAUUCCUAGUGUAGAGGUGAAAUUCGUAGAUAAUAGGAAGAACACCAGUGGCGAAGGCGGCUCACUGGCUCGGUACUGACGCUGAGGCGCGAAAGCGUGGGGAGCAAACAGGAUUAGAUACCCCCGUAGUCC